This 254-nucleotide long non-coding RNA is filed under the name Sorghum bicolor (sorghum). Its description in RNAcentral is "long non-coding RNA (SBIC_LNC004793)". Lineage: Eukaryota; Viridiplantae; Streptophyta; Magnoliopsida; Poales; Poaceae. The record is from RNAcentral.
AGCACUUCCUAUGUUGAGUUUAUACCAAUGUCUAGCUUUUCCCGUUAAAGAGAACGGAAAGAGCUUCCAUUUAAGGGUCUCAUCGGACAUGCCUUCAAUGCGAAGGAGGUCACAGACUCGAUAAAACUCUCUUAGGUGUGUGUAUGGGUUUUCCUCACCUUCUCCUGAGAAAGGUUGUUUUUGAACAAAUUCUAUGUAUUCCGGGCUUAUCUCAAAACUAGAUGUCAUGAUAGGCUUUGAAGAUUUUGGGGGUU